This 449-nucleotide ribosomal RNA is filed under the name uncultured bacterium. RNAcentral describes it as "partial 16S ribosomal RNA". It matches the Rfam family "Bacterial small subunit ribosomal RNA", at positions 354 to 796 of the family's 1533-position model. The record is from RNAcentral.
GUCGAGAAUCUUUCACAAUGGGGGCAACCCUGAUGGAGCGACGCCGCGUGGAGGAUAAGGUCUUCGGAUUGUAAACUCCUGUCAUGCGUGAACAAGGUUGCUUGGUUAAUACCUGGGCAAAUUGAUGGUAACGCAAGAGGAAGAGACGGCUAACUCUGUGCCAGCAGCCGCGGUAAUACAGAGGUCUCAAGCGUUGUUCGGAAUCACUGGGCGUAAAGGGUGCGUAGGUGGCGUGGUAAGUCAGAUGUGAAAGCCGGGGGCUCAACCUCGGAACGGCAUCCGAUAGUGCCAUGCUAGAGUACGGGAGAGGUGACUAGAAUUCUCGGUGUAGCAGUGAAAUGCGUAGAUAUCGAGAGGAAUACCAAAGGCGUAGGCAGGUCACUGGACAGUUACUGACACUGAGGCACGAAGGCCAGGGGAGCGAACGGGAUUAGAUACCCUGGUAGUCC